GUUGGUCUCUUUAAUGUUUAAUUUUGCAAUUUCCAUGAAGUGAAUAUUGACCCUGAACUAAUAGAAAGAGUUCAACACAAUCCUACGCUGUAUAAAAAUGUCAGAAUUCAAGGAAGGCCAAAGUUUUUAAUCCGCUUAAAUAUUUUGUAAACCUUAUUCAAGGAAAAUCGCGAAAUUUUACACCCGUGAAAAUAACCCGGUAUACGGUAACUCGUGAAAAGGGUUUCUGACGAACGAAAUUUAUAAAUUAUUUUCUUGACUAGGUUUUCUGAAGGAAAGGUCUAGUUAUUAAAUUUGUGUAAUUACUUAUGAACCAACCAAC
RNAcentral lists this long non-coding RNA (322 nucleotides) under Mytilus galloprovincialis (Mediterranean mussel). Lineage: Eukaryota; Metazoa; Mollusca; Bivalvia; Mytilida; Mytilidae. The record is from RNAcentral.